ACAAUGGAGAGUUUGAUCCUGGCUCAGGAUGAACGCUAGCGGCAGGCCUAACACAUGCAAGUCGAGGGGCAGCACGUAAAGUAUUUCGGUACUUUUGGUGGCGACCGGCGGACGGGUGCGUAACGCGUAUGCAACCUACCUUUAACAGGGGGAUAACACUGGGAAACCGGUACUAAUACCCCAUAAUAUCAGAGA
This 195-nucleotide ribosomal RNA is filed under the name Rikenellaceae bacterium. RNAcentral describes it as "partial 16S ribosomal RNA". It matches the Rfam family "Bacterial small subunit ribosomal RNA", at positions 1 to 185 of the family's 1533-position model. The record is from RNAcentral. Lineage: Bacteria; Pseudomonadati; Bacteroidota; Bacteroidia; Bacteroidales; Rikenellaceae.